ACGAGUUGUAAUUUGAAGAUUGUAACCUUGGGGUUGGCUCUUGGUCUAUGUUUCUUGGAACAGGACGUCACAGAGGGUGAGAAUCCGCGUGCGAUGAGAUGCCCAAUUACUAUGUAANGUGUAGCUAUUCGAAGAGUCGAGUUGUUUGGGAACUGCAGCUCUAAGUGGGUGGUAAAUUCCAUCUAAAGCUAAAUAUUGGCGAGAGACCGAUAGCGAACAAGUACGAGUGAUGGAAAGAUGAAAAGAACUUUGAAAGAGAGAGUGAAAAAGUACGUGAAAUUGUUGAANAGGGAAGGGUUUGAGAUCAGACUCGAUAUUUGUAGAGGCCUUUGCGCCUUCGGUGGCUGNGUGGGUUGAUCCC
This 361-nucleotide ribosomal RNA is filed under the name Meyerozyma guilliermondii. Its description in RNAcentral is "eukaryotic LSU rRNA". It matches the Rfam family "Eukaryotic large subunit ribosomal RNA", at positions 138 to 485 of the family's 3401-position model. The record is from RNAcentral. Lineage: Eukaryota; Fungi; Ascomycota; Pichiomycetes; Serinales; Debaryomycetaceae.